This 90-nucleotide microRNA precursor is filed under the name Macaca mulatta (Rhesus monkey). RNAcentral's name for it is "mir-544 microRNA precursor family". It matches the Rfam family "mir-544 microRNA precursor family". Lineage: Eukaryota; Metazoa; Chordata; Mammalia; Primates; Cercopithecidae. The record is from Rfam by way of RNAcentral.
AUCACCUGGAAAUCUAGUUAAAAUGCAGAUUCUGAUUUGCUAGUGGGGCCUGAGAUUCUGCAUUUUGAUCAAGCUCUCAAGUGAUGCCUC